Molecule: long non-coding RNA, 903 nt
Filed under: Bos indicus x Bos taurus (hybrid cattle)
Lineage: Eukaryota; Metazoa; Chordata; Mammalia; Artiodactyla; Bovidae
Description: lncRNA (ENSBIXG00000028554.1)
Source: RNAcentral
UAUGCCUACCUUACGUCAAACAUGACAUUAAGUCCAUGACACAGACUAUUUCAUUUAAUCUUCAUUUAAGCCUAAGAGGAAUGAGCCCCUUUACAGAGAGAGACUGAGGCUAAGAGAAAAUGAGUAAUCUCAUUCAAAGCCCCAUGGAGACAAAUUCUAAUUUCUAGAAUUAGAAAUUAAACCCAGACCCAUACCCCUGGGUCUUACUACCUUCUGAGUGGAGUAGAAGGAAAUCUGUUUAAAACACAGAUGCAAAAGCCAGAUGGUGAAGGAACUUGGAUGCCAGAAGGAGUUUCAGAUUUCCUUGGACAGUAAUGGUUAGGAGUGGAGAAGGGUCUGAAAAGGGUUAAACAAAGCAUUAAUAAGCUCUCUCAUUUAACCUUUGUCUUACAGCCCUGUAACUACGCAAACAACACAAAUUAUUCUCCCUCAUCCCAGAUAACCAUCUCCUGUACCUUCCUUAAUUCUACAGAUCACUCAAGAUAAAGGAGUCAUUAGCUUGAGGCUGAUGUGGCAGCUGCCCAAUUCCCUGCGCCUGGCAAAAGUUUCAUGUGGAAAAUCUACAUCUGCAUGACGCAGGCAAACCCAGAAACAACUACACAAGACCAAGGGAAUCUUGCAGCUGUCCAGUUGGAAACAAAUUGUAUGUAAAGACUACCUCAACUAAAAGCCACAGAACAGAUUUUCCUCACUAUUUGACUAUAGGAGGAAAACAGACCUUUAUGGAGCUAAAGAAUCUUGAGAGAGAUGGGAAAUUGACUCUAAGCACCAUCCAUAAAUACCCUAGAGUCUGCUACUGAAUCCAUGGAUUGGAUUAAGCUACAAUCAAGAACAAGUAUAGUAGCGAUAGGAGUCUGUGUGUAAGUAAAUCAAUAAAUAGACAAAACAUCUGUGGUUUGUAUA